UACGUAGGGUGCAAGCGUUGUCCGGAAUUAUUGGGCGUAAAGAGCUCGUAGGCGGUCUGUCGCGUCUGCUGUGAAAACUCGGGGCUUAACCCCGGGCCUGCAGUGGGUACGGGCAGACUAGAGUGCGGUAGGGGAGACUGGAAUUCCUGGUGUAGCGGUGAAAUGCGCAGAUAUCAGGAGGAACACCGGUGGCGAAGGCGGGUCUCUGGGCCUGCACUGACGCUGAGGAGCGAAAGCAUGGGGAGCGAACAGG
This 253-nucleotide ribosomal RNA is filed under the name uncultured bacterium. RNAcentral describes it as "partial 16S ribosomal RNA". It matches the Rfam family "Bacterial small subunit ribosomal RNA", at positions 524 to 776 of the family's 1533-position model. The record is from RNAcentral.